AAAGAUUUAGGAUAAACAAACCAAGAGCCUUCAAAGCUCUAAACAGAAGUUUAAACCUUCUAAUCUUU
RNAcentral lists this transfer RNA (68 nucleotides) under Amphiuma pholeter (one-toed salamander). RNAcentral's name for it is "tRNA-Trp". It matches the Rfam family "tRNA". Rfam says of the family: Transfer RNA (tRNA) molecules are approximately 80 nucleotides in length. Their secondary structure includes four short double-helical elements and three loops (D, anti-codon, and T loops). The record is from RNAcentral. Lineage: Eukaryota; Metazoa; Chordata; Amphibia; Caudata; Amphiumidae.